Molecule: ribosomal RNA, 253 nt
Filed under: uncultured bacterium
Lineage: Bacteria
Description: partial 16S ribosomal RNA
Rfam family: Bacterial small subunit ribosomal RNA
Source: RNAcentral
UACGUAGGUGGCAAGCGUUGUCCGGAUUUAUUGGGUUUAAAGGGUGCGUAGGCGGCUUAUUAAGUCAGUGGUGAAAUACUCUAGCUCAACUAGAGGGGUGCCAUUGAUACUGAUGAGCUUGAGUACAGAUGAGGUAGGCGGAAUUGACGGUGUAGCGGUGAAAUGCUUAGAUAUCCGGAGGAACACCGAAGGCGAAGGCAGUGUCCUGGGGAGUACCUGACGCUCAGGUGCGAAAGCUAGGGGAGCGAACGGG